GACGAACGCUGGCGGCGUGCCUAACACAUGCAAGUCGAACGGGGCCGGGGGCAACUCCGGUUCAGUGGCGGACGGGUGCGUAACACGUGAGGAACAUGACCACCGGUGGGGGAUAGCCGGCCCAACGGCCGGGUAAUACCGCAUACGCUGCCUUGAGCUCAUGCUCGGGGUCGGAAAGCAGCAAUGCGCCGAUGGAGUGCCUCGCGGCCUAUCAGCUAGUUGGUGAGGUAAUGGCUCACCAAGGCGACGACGGGUGGCUGGUCUGAGAGGAUGGCCAGCCACAUUGGGACUGAGACACGGCCCAGACUCCUACGGGAGGCAGCAGUGGGGAAUAUUGCGCAAUGGCCGAAAGGCUGACGCAGCGACGCCGCGUGUGGGAUGACGGCCUUCGGGUUGUAACCAC
RNAcentral lists this ribosomal RNA (403 nucleotides) under uncultured bacterium. RNAcentral's name for it is "bacterial SSU rRNA". It matches the Rfam family "Bacterial small subunit ribosomal RNA", at positions 28 to 433 of the family's 1533-position model. The record is from RNAcentral.